AUUGAACGCUGGCGGCAUGCCUUACACAUGCAAGUCGAACGGGCUUUUGGGGCUUGCUCCAAAAGUUAGUGGCGAACGGGUGAGUAAUAUAUCGGAACGUGCCCUGGAGUGGGGGACAACCAGUCGAAAGAUUGGCUAAUACCGCAUACGAUCCAAGGAUGAAAGUGGGGGACCUUCGGGCCUCAUGCUCCUGGAGCGGCCGAUAUCUGAUUAGCUAGUUGGUGGGGUAAAGGCCCACCAAGGCGAAGAUCAGUAGCUGGUCUGAGAGGACGAUCAGGCACACUGGGACUGAGACGCGGCCCAGACUCCUACGGGAGGCAGCAGUGGGGAAUUUUGGACAAUGGGGGAAACCCUGAUCCAGCAAUGCCGCGUGAGUGAAGAAGGCCUUCGGGUUGUAAAGCUCUUUUGUCAGGGAAGAAACGGUGGGGGCUAAUAUCCUCUGCUAAUGACGGUACCUGAAGAAUAAGCACCGGCUAACUACGUGCCAGCCGCCGCGGUAA
Molecule: ribosomal RNA, 500 nt
Filed under: uncultured bacterium
Lineage: Bacteria
Description: partial 16S ribosomal RNA
Rfam family: Bacterial small subunit ribosomal RNA
Source: RNAcentral